GGAGGGGUGGCCGAGCGGUCAAUGGCAGCAGACUGUAAAUCUGCCCUCUACGGAGUUCGAAGGUUCGAAUCCUUCCCCCUCCACCA
Molecule: transfer RNA, 86 nt
Filed under: Alphaproteobacteria bacterium
Lineage: Bacteria; Pseudomonadati; Pseudomonadota; Alphaproteobacteria
Also listed under: 2 other names
Description: tRNA-Tyr
Rfam family: tRNA
About the family: Transfer RNA (tRNA) molecules are approximately 80 nucleotides in length. Their secondary structure includes four short double-helical elements and three loops (D, anti-codon, and T loops).
Source: RNAcentral